RNAcentral lists this long non-coding RNA (1137 nucleotides) under Gadus morhua (Atlantic cod). RNAcentral describes it as "lncRNA (ENSGMOG00000037254.1)". The record is from RNAcentral. Lineage: Eukaryota; Metazoa; Chordata; Actinopteri; Gadiformes; Gadidae.
AUGCUGGGGGCUAGGGAGGUAAGUCAGGAAAGUACAGGCUUUAGCCCAAAUGAUCUGGUGUUUGGACACACAGUGCGUGGCCCUUUGGCAGUCUUGCAGGACGAUUGGAAGAAUUCUGAGCCACCUAAAAACUUGCUGCAUUAUGUAAAUGGCUUCAGGAAUAGGCUAUAUGCUGCUGGAGAGCUAGCAAAAGAGAAACUUGCAGGCGCCCAACAAAAAAUUAAGCGUCUUUAUGACCGUCGAUCCGAGCAACGCACGUUUUCCCUGGGUGAUCAAGUUCUCGUUCUGCUGCCUUUGGUCGGUUCCCCCUUUCAGACUAAAUUUACUGGUCCACAUACAGUUGUAAAGAAAGUUUCAGACCAAAACUAUUUGAUUGCCACGCCUUUGCGUAGGAAACCUAACCAACUCUGUCAUAUUAACUUACUGAAGACUUAUUACGAUCGUGUGUCCUCUCCAGUAUGCCCCCGUCCGGCGUGUUUGGCUAAUACAGUCCUUGUGGACUCCAUCCCUCAUGCGGUGGCAGAGCUUGAGGAGGAUGGGUUGUCCACUCCUGACCAAUCCCUGUUAAAUGGGAGGUUGAAGAAUUCUGAAUCACUUGUUAACCUUGACAGCUCGUUGCGCCAUUUGGGGGAGGUUGAACACACUCAUAUUGAUGUAGGUGAUGCAAGGCCCAUUCGUCAACGUUUUUAUAGGGUGAAUCCAGAAAAACGUAAGCAGAUGGACUCGGAAAUAAAAUAUAUUCUUGAAAAUAACAUUGCAGUUCCGUCAUCGUCCAGCUGGGCGUCUCCAUGUUUGACGGUUCCAAAACCUGAUAAUACGCCAAGAUUUUGCACAGACCUGCGCAAGGUUAAUAACGUGACAAAUCCAGAUUCAUACCCACGUAUGGAUGAUUGCAUAGACCAAGUUUCCUCUGCAACGUUUAUUUCAAAAUUUGAUUUGUUGAAAGGAUAUUGGCAGGUGCCAUUGUCCGAGAGGGCUCGAGAAAUAUCUGCUUUCAUAACUCCUUCCGGCCUUUAUUCCUACACGGUGAUGCCGUUUGGUUUGAGAAAUGCUCCAGCCACGUUUCAGCGUUUAAUGAACAUGGUUGUGCGUGACCUGGAGGGCUGUGCAGUGUAUUUAGAUGAUGUUGUCAUCUAA